Molecule: ribosomal RNA, 390 nt
Filed under: Triticum aestivum (bread wheat)
Lineage: Eukaryota; Viridiplantae; Streptophyta; Magnoliopsida; Poales; Poaceae
Description: partial small subunit ribosomal RNA
Source: RNAcentral
AUGGAUUCACAUGAUGCGACGGACCUGCUGUCGGCUGUCUUCCCCGACCACUUAUGUGAGCUGCUCCUGCCGCUGACCCUCCUCAACUUCGCCCUUUGCUCGCUGUUGCUCCUGGUGCCACCGGAUGCAAGGGUGGAGCUUGCGCCUCUUUCUCUACACCAGUUUAUGUUGCUUCCGUUGCUGCGAAUGUGGUUAAGAUGGGGUUCUACACCAGCUUCUUAUGUUGCAUGUGAAUGGGGAAAUUCACCUGUGCGGCGGCGGUGGGGAAGGAGCAGCACCGACAGUCCUGACACCGACAGUCCUGACAGAGAAAGCCAUGUUGCCGUUUUGUUUGUUCCCAGCCUUGACUAUGGUUGUCCAGCGAGUCCGGUAUGUCGUCAUUUUUUGUAA